AGAGGUCUUCAUUUGGUGAACUCAUAAAGGUUCUAUGUAGAACCCUGCUACAAAGCGGUUUCCCAUCUGAAAAGGUUCCAUGUAGCACCCUUUAGAGGUCUUCAUUUGGUGAACUCAUAAAGGUUCUAUGUAGAACCCUGCUACAAAGCGGUUUCCCAUCUGAAAAGGUUCCAUGUAGCACCCUUUAGAGGUCUUCAUUUGGUGAACUCAUAAAGGUUCUAUGUAGAACCCUGCUACAAAGCGGUUUCCCAUCUGAAAAGGUUCCAUGUAGCACCCUUUAGAGGUCUUAGGCAGGUGAACUCAUAAAGGUUCUAUGUAGAACCCUGCUACAAAGCGGUUUCCCAUCUGAAAAGGUUCCAUGUAGCACCCUUUUUAUAGAAGGUUCUAAUUAGAACCAUGCAGCAAGGUUUCUUAUUAGAAAAGGUUCCCAGAAGAAGCCCUUUUGAAGAAAUCUUUUUUUUCUCUUUUGAGAUUUGAGAUUUAAGAACGUUUAAUGGUUCCCCCAUAGUGAUUGGAAAACCUUAAACAAGGGGUUUCCUAUCUGAAAAGGUUCCAUCUAGCACUCUUAAGAGAUCUUGUGUUUGUCCCUCAUGGGUAAACUCUGGGUAAAAUAUAAUGAUCUAUGUAGAACACAACAAGGUUUCCUAUCAGAGAAGGUUCCAUGUAGAGCCACUUUUGAAAAGUAUCCUAAAAGCCUUAAAACAUUUUUACGAACAUUUAACGGUUUUCCAUUAAAGAUGUAGAACCCUACAACAAAGAGGUCCUGGCCUGGUGAAGUCUGAAAGGUUCUGUGUAGAACUCUAAAACAAAAUCUUUCCGAUCAGAUCAGAAAGGUUCCACGUAGUACCAUUAAAAGAUCUCGGAUUUGUCCGUCUAGGGAACUCUUGAAGGUUCUAUGCGGAACCUUACAUGUGUAGAACCCCUUUUGAGAUCUACAACUAUUUUCCAUCCAAGAAGACCUAGAUAAAAUCUUUUGCUUCCGAGCUGAGAACAUGCAAGAGUUCCC
Molecule: long non-coding RNA, 1006 nt
Organism: Ictalurus punctatus (channel catfish)
Lineage: Eukaryota; Metazoa; Chordata; Actinopteri; Siluriformes; Ictaluridae
Source: Ensembl